GGCAAUAUACUGCUUUGAACAUAAUUUAUUUUUCAUUGUGGGGGCAAAUAUGCAAUGGUUUGGCCCAAAAAUGUAUUUUCAUUACAGUUUGUAAUGCUUAUUGUGUGUGUGUGUCAAAGCUGUCCAAACGGUAAAAAGAAACACAGAAUAAACCUCUCGCUUGUGUUUCUUUACGGUCCAUCAUUAGUUUACAUUUAAUGCAGAACUGAACAGAAGUAAAGAGAGUUCAGUGUGAAAACAGAAUAGUAUUGUAUAUGGAAAAAAAUAUAUCCCACGUGUAUGGUUACAUAGGAAAGUAAAGGAUGCAUAGAAUGACCAAAUGUAAAUUGAAGAAAUGGGCCAAAUGGAUUCUGAAUAUGCACUUUUAAUGUGUAACUUUUGUAUGUUGUGUGGUACAUAUAUAUUUUGCUUUUGAUGAAUUAAUGAGGUACAGGUAAUUGUGGCUUAACUUUUUAGAUACAUUUUAAGAUGCCCACAGCCACAUGGGAUUUAGUUUUGUUAGAAAAGAAAGGCAUGUCUUUUUAAGACUCAAUUGAAGGUGGCUAUCGCAAGCUUUCAUAUUUAAGUAACAGAAUAUUUUUGCUUAUUUGAAAAAGGCAUGUGAAUGGCAAAGUUUUGAAGGGUUUUUUCCCAUCUUGACCUAUGUGCACAGCUUCCAUUAACACCUAAGGAGGUUAUGUACACAUCAAGAGGAAUAUUUCCCUGAAAUGUCAGAUGGUGUUUGCAAGCAGAGACUUGCUCAGUCUUGCAUUUCAGUUAUUGUACUAGCAUUGUGGAUGGUAUUGAAAUUCUGCAUAAUGUGAAAAGGAUGAAACAUUUGUAAACUGCUUGUCAUGGGCCAGUUCUGUAUGAUGCGAACCUUAGCUUUAAUAUCAACAUCCUCAGUGUUUGAUAGCAUUGUUUACAAUUGGGAGGAAAAGUCUGCAGUAGUGCACACUCUAAAUGUUUCCUGAGUUAUUGCAUUGAGUUUACUGUAAUAGUGAUAAUAUGCUAUACUUCUUUUUGGGGAAGACUUGGGUUAGCAGUGGGGAAUGGGAGGAGAUCUCACCUAAUUUAUAAACAUAUUUGCAUAAGGGGGUUAGUUUGCCUAGGAAAAAAAAAUUAUGCAGGGAGGAGAGAGGAAGAAUUUCAGAUUGUUUACUAUCUUAAAAUCUAUCUCCAUCCUCAUUUCAUUAGGAUUCAUCUGAAUUGCUCUGAAGGAAAUUUUCAGAGGAAAGAGUAUAUAGUUUUAUACUUUGGCAUCUAGUACACCAUUAGCAAAGGUAAAUUGGAAAAAAUGCUCAGUCCCAUUUUGAACAAUAAAAUAACCUCUAAAGAUGCAUUUUCUUCUUACCUUCUAACUAAAUCUUUAUGAUGGAUAAAGUGUAAAAUCAGAAACUUUAAUAGUGCAUAAGGCAUCAAGUUAUAUAUUUGCAGAGAUUUAUCCUUUUAUCAGUUUAAAAAUAUUUAUCUAAAAUAAGAUCUCAUAAGCAUUCUUCACAAUAAGACAUGAAAGUAAUUGUUCCCUCCAAAAUAGUGAUGUUUUUGCUGCACUGUGUAAUGCUUUAGGACUAUAUAUCCUCAUACUCAUCACUGGUAAAACUUGCAGCUCUAACAUACAAAGUGACUUGAAUAUUUAAUGCUGUAAUAAUUGUCCAGUUCAGCUUACUCUAAAAUAUCAACGUACAGUAAUCAAAUGGAAAGCUUAAGGACUUUUAUGAAAACUUUUUUUAAUAGAAGCUUAAUAGCACACUUUGUACCAAAUAAUGUCAGACACUAUGCUGUAAUAUUACCUACAUUGUCGAGUGUCCACUUUUCAAGUCAGACAGUGUAUACCAUACAUUACACUAACAGGAAAAAAAACCCAACCCACAUGAUAAUUGAUCUGUUUAGAUAUAAUUUUAUUUAUAAUGUAUGUUUUGAAGUUUUGUCAGCUCUUGCAGAAAAAGUGAAACAGUUACUGUAUUAUUAAGUGAGUGCACUAAUUAUUCACCUCUUUAACUACAUGCAGUGUUCUCACUGGAAUGGGGCUGGCUUGUAAUUACAACCUUCUCCUUUGGAGUCAAUAGCUUGUUUUUAUUCCCCACAUCUCAAGAGCUUGCCCUUCAAAACCUCAGUUGUCAGUUCUAAGUGCAGCAGAUAUAAAACUAUCUAAUACAAAUGGACAGGUUUUUUCAGGCAGAAAUCUUAAGGGUUUUUCUUAGUUUUAUAUAUGUAUUAGGAAUAUAAUGUAUGAAGGUGCCAUGUUUUGGCUUGCCAACACUACUCCCUCAGAUAGAUGUGAACCAUCGCUUCCAUACUUUCUGGGGAGAACCCUGCAUGUGUCCUGUGUGUGCGUGCGUGUGUGUGUAUGACUGUGGUGUUUUUUGUCAAGAAUGACUUUCUAAAAAUAAGGACUCAAUUUGCUGUUAAAACGCUAUGAUGUAUUAUAUAUAUAUAUAUAUAUAUUUUUUUUUUUUUUUUUCCAUUUGAACCUCUCCUAAGGAGAUGCUUUGGGUGGAAGAUGCUUCAAUAAAUGAUCCUUAUUUCCUAGUCCAUUUACUGCAUGCAGAAGUAUGAACACAUUGUGCCUUUUUAGGAAACUGUUGUAAUGAAGGGAAUAUUUAACAGGACACAAGAUCUUUUUUAAAAGGUAUUCUUAAAGGUGGAGUAUGCUAUUUGAUAUACAGUUGAGAUGGAAAAGUUACAAAUUGCCCAUUUAGGCUCUGUUGCAUGUUGAUUCUUGCUUCCUAAAUUCAGUUUCACUAAGGUAGAAACAACACAAAAAAGUGGAAUAAGUAUUAUAGAUACAAGUUGAGUAAUGGUAUAUUUUUGUGAAAAUGUGAAAAUACUUGCUGUUACAAGAUAAAUGUAUGUCAAAAUGUGGUAAUCAUGGACACAAAGUUAGUUUCACAAGUUACUCUAUAGUCUGAUGGUUUUCUAAACAUUGAGUAUAAAAUUCACCUUUGCACAGAAGGUCAGUAGAAGACCUACAUGGAGAUUAUAUUCCUUUUAAAUCCUCAUAGUAAGGUUUCUCUCUUGGGAGAAUAAAAUGAUGUGCAGUAUUUGAAACUGUGUUUCAUGAAAGACAGUGAAUUGCAAAUGUGAGAGAUUGCUACCUGAAAUACUGUUCAAUUUCAUUGGAUUUUACAGUUAGUUAAAAUUUCUAGAUUUAAUGGAUUUAGUUUUUGUAAUUGACAAAUGGAAUGUUAACUGUCUGCUGUCUGGUGUUGAUAGUGCAUUUAGUGCAGAGCUUAGCUCCUUAGCUAGCAAGACACUGACUUAGUCUCAUAACUUGGCUUCUGCUUACAGUAAAUGGACUAUGUAAAGGGAAUUUACUAUUUCAAGUGUUUUGCAAGGAACUUCACUGUAUUUGUAACCUGGUUUUUGAAGGCUUAAGAUCAAUGAGUCCUAUUUUAGAAAUUAAACCAGUGAAAUGACUUAGACCUGUUUUGGGGUGGAAAUGAUUAAAAGAAUUCAGAUAUGUAAACAGUUGUAUCAAACCAUCCAGCCUUUUUUUAUCAGCUGAUGUUAAUGGUGAAAUACUUUUUGUACCUUGUUGCUGAAAAUAUUUUUGCAUUUCAGCACAUCAAGUUACAAUAAAGUUGUUACUUAUACAG
This is a long non-coding RNA of Strigops habroptila (Kakapo), 3578 nucleotides long. The record is from Ensembl. NCBI's taxonomy places the organism in Eukaryota, Metazoa, Chordata, Aves, Psittaciformes, Psittacidae.